This 305-nucleotide ribosomal RNA is filed under the name uncultured bacterium. Its description in RNAcentral is "bacterial SSU rRNA". It matches the Rfam family "Bacterial small subunit ribosomal RNA", at positions 333 to 656 of the family's 1533-position model. The record is from RNAcentral.
GUCUACCUACGGGGGCAGCAGUGGGGGAUAUUGCACAAUGGGGGGAACCCUGAUGCAGCGACGCCGCGUGGGUGAAGAAGCGCCUCGGCGCGUAAAGCCCUGUCAGCAGGGAAGAAAAUGACGGUACCUGAAGAAGAAGCCCCGGCUAACUACGUGCCAGCAGCCGCGGUAAUACGUAGGGAGCAAGCGUUAUCCGGAUUUAUUGGGUGUAAAGGGUGCGUAGACGGGAAGGCAAGUUAGUUGUGAAAUCCCUCGGCUUAACUGAGGAACUGCAACUAACACUAUCUUUCUUGAGUGCUGGAUGG